UACGGAGGAUGGGAGCGUUAUCCGGAUUUAUUGGGUUUAAAGGGUGCGUAGGCGGACUGUCAAGUCAGCGGUAAAAUUGAGAGGCUCAACCUCUUCCCGCCGUUGAAACUGGUGGUCUUGAGUGGAUGAGAAGUACGCGGAAUGCGUGGUGUAGCGGUGAAAUGCAUAGAUAUCACGCAGAACUCCGAUUGCGAAGGCAGCGUACCGGCAUCCAACUGACGCUGAGGCACGAAAGCGUGGGGAUCAAACAGG
RNAcentral lists this ribosomal RNA (252 nucleotides) under uncultured bacterium. Its description in RNAcentral is "partial 16S ribosomal RNA". It matches the Rfam family "Bacterial small subunit ribosomal RNA", at positions 524 to 776 of the family's 1533-position model. The record is from RNAcentral.